GAGUGAGAUGAUGCUUUCAUCUUUCGGGACUGACCUGGAAUGGAGACAUCUUUCACACUGAUCACUC
Molecule: small nucleolar RNA, 67 nt
Organism: Paramormyrops kingsleyae
Lineage: Eukaryota; Metazoa; Chordata; Actinopteri; Osteoglossiformes; Mormyridae
Product: small nucleolar RNA SNORD2
Source: Ensembl